Molecule: non-coding RNA, 94 nt
Organism: Alligator sinensis (Chinese alligator)
Lineage: Eukaryota; Metazoa; Chordata; Crocodylia; Alligatoridae
Source: Rfam
GUUCCAGUAGUGCAAUUGGUUAGCACAUGGCACUUAUAUAGCAGUACACAGUAGAGCCAUACCAAGGUUGUGAGUUCAAGUCUCACCUGGAGCA